GACGAACGCUGGCGGCGUGCUUAACACAUGCAAGUCGAACGGAAAGGCCCUGCUUUUGUGGGGUGCUCGAGUGGCGAACGGGUGAGUAACACGUGAGUAACCUGCCCUUGACUUUGGGAUAACUUCAGGAAACUGGGGCUAAUACCGGAUCGGAGCCCCUGCUGCAUGGUGGGGGUUGGAACGUUUCGGCGGUUGGGGAUGGACUCGCGGCUUAUCAGCUUGUUGGUUGGGUAGUGGCUUACCAAGUCUUUGACGGGUAGCCGGCCUGGGAGGGUGGCCGGCCACAUUGGGACUAAGAGACGGCCCAGACUGCUACGUGGGGCAGCAGGGGGGAAUAUGGCACAAUGGGCGGAAGCCGGAUGCAACAACGCCGCGGGCGGGAUGACGGCCUUCGGGUUGUAAACCGCUUUCGCCUGUGACGAAGCGUGAGUGACGGUAAUGGGUAAAGAAGCACCGGCUAACUACGUG
This 468-nucleotide ribosomal RNA is filed under the name uncultured bacterium. RNAcentral's name for it is "partial 16S ribosomal RNA". It matches the Rfam family "Bacterial small subunit ribosomal RNA", at positions 28 to 507 of the family's 1533-position model. The record is from RNAcentral.